RNAcentral lists this ribosomal RNA (489 nucleotides) under uncultured bacterium. RNAcentral describes it as "partial 16S ribosomal RNA". It matches the Rfam family "Bacterial small subunit ribosomal RNA", at positions 30 to 506 of the family's 1533-position model. The record is from RNAcentral.
AUUGAACGCUGGCGGCAGGCCUAACACAUGCCAGUCGAACGGUAACAGGAAGAAGCUUGCUUCUUUGCUGACGAGUGGCGGACGGGUGAGUAAUGUCUGGGAAACUGCCUGAUGGAGGGGGAUAACUACUGGAAACGGUAGCUAAUACCGCAUAACGUCGCAAGACCAAAGAGGGGGACCUUCGGGCCUUUUGCCAUCGGAUGUGCCCAGAUGGGAUUAGCUAGUAGGUGGGGUAACGGCUCACCUAGGCGACGAUCCCUAGCUGGUCUGAGAGGAUGACCAGCCACACUGGAACUGAGACACGGUCCAGACUCCUACGGGAGGCAGCAGUGGGGAAUAUUGCACAAUGGGCGCAAGCCUGAUGCAGCCAUGCCGCGUGUAUGAAGAAGGCCUUCGGGUUGUAAAGUACUUUCAGCGGGGAGGAAGGGAGUAAAGUUAAUACCUGUGCUCAUUGACGUUACCCGCAGAAGAAGCACCGGCUAACUCCGU